CCUACGGGAGGCAGCAGUGGGGAAUAUUGGGCAAUGGAGGCAACUCUGACCCAGCAACGCCGCGUGAAUGAUGAAGGUCUUCGGAUUGUAAAGUUCUUUUCUUAGGGAAGAAGAAAGUGACGGUACCUUAGGAAUAAGCCUCGGCUAACUACGUGCCAGCAGCCGCGGUAAUACGUAGGAGGCAAGCGUUAUCCGGAAUGACUGGGCGUAAAGGGUGCGUAGGUGGUUUGACAAGUUAGUAGCGCAAAUCCGGAGCUCAACUUCGGAACUACUACUAACACUGUUGGACUUGAGUGCAGAAGAGGCAAUCGGAAUAAGUAAAGUAGCGGUGGAAUGCGUAGAUAUUAGGAGGAACACCAGUGGCGAAGGCAGAUUGCUAGACUGUAACUGACACUGAGGCACGAGAGCGUGGGGAGCAAACAGGAUUAGAUACCCCGGUAGUC
Molecule: ribosomal RNA, 443 nt
Filed under: uncultured bacterium
Lineage: Bacteria
Description: partial 16S ribosomal RNA
Rfam family: Bacterial small subunit ribosomal RNA
Source: RNAcentral